RNAcentral lists this ribosomal RNA (106 nucleotides) under Fukomys damarensis (Damara mole-rat). Lineage: Eukaryota; Metazoa; Chordata; Mammalia; Rodentia; Bathyergidae. The record is from RNAcentral.
GUCUACAGCUAUACCACCCUGAACGCACCUGAUCUCUUCUGAUCUCGGAAGCUAAGCAGGGUUAGGACUGGUCAGUACUUGGAUGGGAGAACAUGCACAGUUUGUA